RNAcentral lists this long non-coding RNA (622 nucleotides) under Ananas comosus (pineapple). RNAcentral describes it as "long non-coding RNA (ACOM_LNC039172)". The record is from RNAcentral. Lineage: Eukaryota; Viridiplantae; Streptophyta; Magnoliopsida; Poales; Bromeliaceae.
ACCCUCCACGUUUGCAUCAAUAAAGCUACAUAUAUACAUACAUAGCAGCUAUAUAUAAAUAUGUAUAAUAUCACUACAACAGAAUUAGGUUAUAGCGACAUAUGUUUGGGACACUUUUGAGUAAGUGUCAUAUUUAUUCUAAAACUUAAAAACACAUUUACUAAUACCUAAAUAUAAAGCCCAAUCCAACCAAAAAUAAGAGAUUACUCUACUCAACCCACCACACCCAGUCCAUUUGGCCCGAUUACAAACAGAAAAGAAAAAAAAGAAAAAAUCAAUUACCAUCUUUUCUUCUCUCUUCACUCAAUCCACUGAAAUUCUAGAUGAAAAGCCUUUACUGUCGUCCUUCUCCGCCACCGCAGCCAACGAGAUAGAGUUUCGGCGGUUGCUAAAUGCUUAAAUAAGUGUUGGUAAAUUAGUAGCACUCUUUUAGAUUAUAACGACACUCUUUAACUGUCACUAUAUACCUAGCGACCCCACAUAUAGCAAUAUUUUUUAAAAAUAUUGCUAAUUUUAGCUAGCAGUAUUUUUUUGACAUGUACCUAUAUUUAAAAAUAUCGCUAUAGAUCGUUUUUGUUGUAGUGUAUGUUGUAUAUAUAUAUACCUCUUAUGCGUGACCCAA